AAGUCGUAACAAGGUUUCCGUAGGUGAACCUGCGGAAGGAUCAUUAAAGUAAAACCAAGGUCGCGCGCAGUUGCUGGCCCUCCGGGGCAUGUGCACGCCGCUUCCGCAUCCUCUUCUACCCCUGUGCACCUUUGCGUGGGGUGCCGCCGGCUUUUCAAGCCUCCGGUGCUCCGCGUCUCUUACACACAUACCACGCAUGUCUUCAGAAUGUCUAUUGCGAUAAAAAGCAAACUUAAUACAACUUUCAACAACGGAUCUCUUGGCUCUC
RNAcentral lists this unclassified non-coding RNA (268 nucleotides) under Artomyces pyxidatus. Its description in RNAcentral is "partial internal transcribed spacer region". The stretch from base 1 to 46 matches the Rfam family "Eukaryotic small subunit ribosomal RNA", at positions 1786 to 1831 of the family's 1831-position model. Lineage: Eukaryota; Fungi; Basidiomycota; Agaricomycetes; Russulales; Auriscalpiaceae. The record is from RNAcentral.